This 72-nucleotide microRNA precursor is filed under the name Medicago truncatula (barrel medic). RNAcentral's name for it is "MIR2629 microRNA precursor family". It matches the Rfam family "MIR2629 microRNA precursor family". The record is from Rfam by way of RNAcentral. Lineage: Eukaryota; Viridiplantae; Streptophyta; Magnoliopsida; Fabales; Fabaceae.
UGCCGAAGUUUUCCUCGGAAGUUAACUGCAGUCGAUUUCGUAUUUCCUCGGCAGUUAACUACCGAGAAGUAU